Molecule: long non-coding RNA, 1607 nt
Organism: Pangasianodon hypophthalmus (striped catfish)
Lineage: Eukaryota; Metazoa; Chordata; Actinopteri; Siluriformes; Pangasiidae
Exons: 3
Source: RefSeq, a predicted model, not a curated record
AUAGAGAAAGAGAGGGAGGACAAAACAGACAGAAAGACAGAGAGAGAGGCAGUCUCUUGUGGAGAGAACGUAAAGAAGCUGAAUUCUGGCUGCGAAAGGGGGGAGAACAGGCUGAAAAAUACAACCCACAUGCAUGUUAAGUAGUUAGUCAUUCAACAGAACAGCAACAGCCGUAACUGUGUGACAGCACUUGGAGAACUGCCUGCAUCGAACAAGUACAGCAAGAGAAAGCAAUAAACUGGGGAAAAAAACUCGGAAUGAGACAAGAAUAACAAGUGAAACAAGACUGGACGGCAGUCAAAAGGCAGCCUGUACGCAACUCUGUGGAGGAGUUAAACAGUCAGCCAGGCUGCUUGUGGAAUUCCUAAAUCAGCUACUGGAACUGAAGCACAGGAAAAAGGGGCAGCACAUUUUUCCCCUCAGUGACAGCUGUGACCAGCCGAGAGAAUGGAUGCCAAACAGGAAGUACUUGAUAUCCUCCAAAAGAUCUGGAUCAAGCUACAGACCCUCCCUGAAGCGAACGCCAUCGAGAAAGGAGGCUUCCUCAUACUCCUCCUCUUCAUUUUGACAUUCCUGGCCUUAGUGGUGUUUGCUUGUGCACAGUGCUGCUGUAGCUGUGGACGAAACCGAAGAAGUAACAACUCUGUCCUCUGAACCGUCUCUACAGUUCAGUCAACCAUGGAGAAAUACCAGACAAUGAAAGAGGGACAGAGAAAAGAGGGGACAAACAGAGGUCACUACAAAAGCUUUGAGGAAAUGAGUUUUUGCACUAGGCCUUUUCACGCCUGCCUCCAUGACACAGUAAAAAGUAAAAAGGAAAUGAAUUCAGAGGAGAGAGAAUGGCCUGCUCAGCCCUCUGGUGUCAACUGAAGGAACUUCAGUGUAUACAGAAUGCACUAAAACUGCAAAUGUGGCUUUUACUCUUGUACAUAUAUGUCAUGUUUGUGAAUAAUCUCAAAAUUGUAAUCUGUACUAUACCUAUUAGGUGUGUAUGCGAGCAACGGAUCAGGGAAGAAGUGUCAAAGCUAUGCAAGCCAACUGGAAAGGGAAAUGGUGGCUCAGUGGUUACGGCUGUGGGCUAUAGAUCGGAAGGUUGUGAGUUUAAAUCCCAGAAUGACCAAGCUUUCCCUCAGUUGGAUCUUGUCUCAAUUGUCACUUUAAAUAAAAGCAACAACCAAAUGAUCAAAUGUAAAUGAAAGAAACUUGGGAAUGGUUGGGAUGAACAGCAGAGCCAAUGCAAUUCAGUAUUUAUUCAAUUUAAAUGCGUUUUUCUUUUUUUUUUGUAUUAUUUGACUGAAGUACCAAGGUAGGAGCUAGUAAGAUUUUGUUUUUACAACUAAUACAUAAUGUGAUCAUUAUAAGAAUUCCAAACGAUCACAUCAAAACUUUAACUGACAAUUAUUACAUAAAUCAUAACUCAUCUCAUAAGGAAUUUUUCAUACACAAUGUCAAAUAUUUCUAAGACUUUUAGCUCAUGGAAUCUUAGAUGUAGCACCUUUAAGCAUUAUUAAUUUAAACAAUUUAUAAUAAAACAUGUUCCUUUCUUUUAUACAAACGUACCUAAAACCUAUAAUACAUUGAAUAAAUACAAAUCUAUUAACUGUUAA